RNAcentral lists this long non-coding RNA (496 nucleotides) under Apteryx owenii (little spotted kiwi). RNAcentral's name for it is "lncRNA (ENSAOWG00000013555.1)". Lineage: Eukaryota; Metazoa; Chordata; Aves; Apterygiformes; Apterygidae. The record is from RNAcentral.
GGAUACAUCUGCAUUCACUUGAACAGAGUGGAUUUCAUUGUAGGACAGAUUCAGGAAUCACGCCCAAGACAAGAAAUGCACUACACAGUUCACCAGGCUAACUUCUUGCAGGCAGCUGUUUCACAGAAUCACAGAAUGGUUGAGGUUGGAAGGGACCUCUGGAGAUCAUCUAGUCCAACCCCCCUGCUCAAGCAGGGUCACCUGGAGGACAUUGACAGGAUCGCGUCCAGGCGAGUUUUGAAUAUCUCCAGAGAAGGAGACUCCACAACCUCUCUGGGCAACCUGUUCCAGUGCUCUGUCACCCUCACAGUGAAGAAGUUUUUCCUCAUGUUCACAUGGAAUUGUCUGUGUUUCAGUUUGUGCCCGUUGCCUCUUGUCCUUGUAAUGGCACUUUUGACAUAAACAAUAGAGCUUCCUUGCAAAGUGGGGGAACUGAGAAGUAGUGGUUUGAUAGGAAAUGAAGAGUAGGGCUGGAAUAAAUGUUUGCCAGAGGACA